This 499-nucleotide ribosomal RNA is filed under the name uncultured Glomeromycotina. RNAcentral describes it as "partial small subunit ribosomal RNA". It matches the Rfam family "Eukaryotic small subunit ribosomal RNA", at positions 591 to 1091 of the family's 1831-position model. Lineage: Eukaryota; Fungi; Glomeromycota. The record is from RNAcentral.
CCAAUAGCGUACAUUAAAGUUGUUGCAGUUAAAAAGCUCGUAGUUGAAUUUCGGGGUCAGCAGGUUGGUCGUGCCACUGGUAUGCACUGGCCUCGCUGAUUCCUCCCUCUUGUAGAACCGUAAUGCCAUUAAGUUGGUGUUGCGGGGAAACAGGACUGUUACUUUGAAAAAAUUAGAGUGUUUAAAGCAGGCUAACGCUUGAAUACAUUAGCAUGGAAUAAUGAAAUAGGACGAUCGAUCCUAUUUUGUUGGUUUCUAGGGUUGACGUAAUGAUUAAUAGGGAUAGUUGGGGGCAUUAGUAUUCAAUUGUCAGAGGUGAAAUUCUUGGAUUUAUUGAAGACUAACUACUGCGAAAGCAUUUGCCAAGGAUGUUUUCAUUAAUCAAGAACGAAAGUUAGGGGAUCGAAGACGAUCAGAUACCGUUGUAGUCUUAACCAUAAACUAUGCCGACUAGGGAUCGGAUGAUGUUAAUUUUUUAAUGACUCAUUCGGCGCCUUAC